UACGUAGGGUGCGAGCGUUGUCCGGAAUUAUUGGGCGUAAAGAGCUCGUAGGCGGUGUGUCACGUCGUUCGUGAAAACCUGCAGCUUAACUGUGGGCGUGCAGUCGAUACGGGCAGGCUAGAAUUCGGUAGGGGAGACUGGAAUUCCUGGUGUAGCGGUGAAAUGCGCAGAUAUCAGGAGGAACACCGGUGGCGAAGGCGGGUCUCUGGGCCGAUAUUGACGCUGAGGAGCGAAAGCGUGGGGAGCGAACAGG
This 253-nucleotide ribosomal RNA is filed under the name uncultured bacterium. RNAcentral describes it as "partial 16S ribosomal RNA". It matches the Rfam family "Bacterial small subunit ribosomal RNA", at positions 524 to 776 of the family's 1533-position model. The record is from RNAcentral.